ACAUCGGCUCUUUUAAGAGCCAAAAACAAUGUAACCAUGGCUCUUU
Non-coding RNA from Papilio machaon (common yellow swallowtail), 46 nucleotides. The record is from Rfam. NCBI's taxonomy places the organism in Eukaryota, Metazoa, Arthropoda, Insecta, Lepidoptera, Papilionidae.